AUUGAGGUGGCAGAGACUGGACAUGCACAGGGGUUAAAACCCUGACACAGGUGUUCAACCCACCUCCCCAAUA
RNAcentral lists this transfer RNA (73 nucleotides) under Rena humilis (western threadsnake). Its description in RNAcentral is "Leu-tRNA". Lineage: Eukaryota; Metazoa; Chordata; Lepidosauria; Squamata; Leptotyphlopidae. The record is from RNAcentral.